This 80-nucleotide small nucleolar RNA is filed under the name Triticum aestivum (bread wheat). RNAcentral also lists the same sequence under 1 other name. The record is from RNAcentral. Lineage: Eukaryota; Viridiplantae; Streptophyta; Magnoliopsida; Poales; Poaceae.
GGUCAGAUGAUGCUACAACAACAUAUUCCUGAGAUUCUCUUUGAGGAAUACAAAAUUGAGGUUUUUAAGACUGAUGGCCA